Molecule: ribosomal RNA, 460 nt
Filed under: uncultured bacterium
Lineage: Bacteria
Description: partial 16S ribosomal RNA
Rfam family: Bacterial small subunit ribosomal RNA
Source: RNAcentral
CCUACGGGUGGCAGCAGUGAGGAAUAUUGGUCAAUGGGCGCGAGCCUGAACCAGCCAAGUCGCGUGAAGGAUGACUGCCCUACGGGUUGUAAACUUCUUUUAUAAGGGAAUAAAGUGAGGCACGUGUGCCUUUUUGUAUGGACUUUAUGAAUAAGGAUCGGCUAACUCCGGGCCAGCAGACGCGGGAAUACGGAGGGACGGAGCGGUAUCCGGAUAUAUUGGGGUUAAAGGGAGGGGUGUGGGUUUUUCAAGUCAGUUGGGAAAGUUUGGGGGUCAACCGUAGAUUUGCCAUUGAUACUGGCAGUCUUGAGUACAGUUGAGGUAGGCGGAAUUCGUGGUGUAGUGGUGAAAUGCUUAGAUAUCACGAAGAACUCCGAUUGCGAAGGCAGCUUACUAAACUGCAACUGACAUUGAUGCUCGAAAGUGUGGGUAUCAAACAGGAUUAGAUACCCUUGUAGUC